AACUAAAUCCACCUUGCAUGUGUUUUGCUGCGUAAUUCUUGGUGUUCGGUGUUUGCUGUUUUGUCAGGGAUUUGUUUGGCUAUUUGAUGGUGUUUGUGGUGGUUUUGGUGUUUGUUGUGGUGUUUGUGGUGGUGUUUGUUGUGUUUUUGGUGUCUUCCAUGUGGUCUUCUCGGUUGUAUUCGAUCAUGUUUGUGUUGUUUUGUUAAAAUGGGCGUUUGGUGCGAAUUGUAUGUCGCAUUUGGUUCUUCAUCGUUCGUUCCAUUACAAGGUGACUUUCUUUUUGCCAUUAGCAGUACAUUAUAACUAGAUUUAUUCAUUUACACAAAAAAUGCGCUGUGAUUAAUUUGUUUUACGUUUCCCAUCAGUUUUAGGUAGCUGCAAAGACAUGUCAUGAAAUUUGCAGACGACAGAUAUGGGGUGCAGGCGAGAUCUGGGUUGAACGCGCGAAAGCUGCAAAGACAUGCCAUGAAAUAUGCAGACGACAGACAUGCGGUACAGACGAGAUCUGGGUUGAACGCGCGAAAUUGUUUUAUUUUAUUUCUGCGUUUUACUCUUUUUGUUUUGGUUUUCUUUUUUUCUACUAGAAUUCUGUGGUAUGUGUACUUGAAGAAAAAAGACGCAGAUGGACAUGGAGAUGCAGACCAAGCAAAAUGUGCGUUUCUGUUUAUGAUGAACAGUAAUUCUGGAGCGUAGGAAUGUGCAUUCAACUUCUGGCUAUGGUGAAAGUAAAAGUAUCGGACAAGAAACUCAAAACUAUUCGAUGAGAAACUCAGGCUAUCGGCGUGACGUGGAACCCGAAUUAUCCAACAAGAAGCAGUUUCCUGUACCAUACACGAAGAAAAAUUUAGUUGAUGGAACUACAGUUGUCGUAGAAUUGCCUUGCUGGUACUAAAAAGAUGCCGAUAACCAGAGUGGGCACUGGUAGCCAAUCGAUGUCGCUCAUCAGAGGUGCUCUGGACCCCUUAUGUCAACAUAGUAAUCAACUGUUCUU
Mercenaria mercenaria is the source of this 991-nucleotide long non-coding RNA. RefSeq lists it as uncharacterized. Lineage: Eukaryota; Metazoa; Mollusca; Bivalvia; Venerida; Veneridae. The transcript has 3 exons. The record is from RefSeq and is a predicted model, not a curated record.